AUUGAACGCUGGCGGCAUGCUUUACACAUGCAAGUCGAACGGUAACAGGCCUUCGGGUGCUGACGAGUGGCGAACGGGUGAGUAAUGCAUCGGAACGUACCCAGAGGUGGGGGAUAACGCAGCGAAAGCUGUGCUAAUACCGCAUGUGAUCUGAGGAUGAAAGCGGGGGACCGAGCAGCAAUGUUUGGCCUCGCGCCUUUGGAGCGGCCGAUGUCGGAUUAGCUAGUUGGUGGGGUAAAGGCCUACCAGGGCGACGAUCCGUAGCUGGUCUGAGAGGACGACCAGCCACACUGGGACUGAGACACGGCCCAGACUCCUAAGGGAGGGAGCAGUGGGGAAUUUUGGACAAUGGGCGCAAGCCUGAUCCAGCAAGGCCGCGUGCGGGAAGAAGGCCUUCGGGUUGUAAACCGCUUUUGGCAGGAACGAAACGGUGUCCGCUAAUACCGGGCGCUAAUGACGGUACCUGCAGAAUAAGCACCGGCUAACUACGUG
RNAcentral lists this ribosomal RNA (492 nucleotides) under uncultured bacterium. Its description in RNAcentral is "partial 16S ribosomal RNA". It matches the Rfam family "Bacterial small subunit ribosomal RNA", at positions 29 to 507 of the family's 1533-position model. The record is from RNAcentral.